This 70-nucleotide transfer RNA is filed under the name Camelus ferus (Wild Bactrian camel). It matches the Rfam family "tRNA". Rfam says of the family: Transfer RNA (tRNA) molecules are approximately 80 nucleotides in length. Their secondary structure includes four short double-helical elements and three loops (D, anti-codon, and T loops). Further hydrogen bonds mediate the characteristic L-shaped molecular structure. tRNAs have two regions of fundamental functional importance: the anti-codon, which is responsible for specific mRNA codon recognition, and the 3' end, to which the tRNAs corresponding amino acid is attached (by aminoacyl-tRNA synthetases). tRNAs cope with the degeneracy of the genetic code in two manners: having more than one tRNA (with a specific anti-codon) for a particular amino acid; and 'wobble' base-pairing, i.e. permitting non-standard base-pairing at the 3rd anti-codon position. Lineage: Eukaryota; Metazoa; Chordata; Mammalia; Artiodactyla; Camelidae. The record is from Rfam by way of RNAcentral.
GGGGGUAGCUCAGUGGUAGAGUGUGUGCUUGGUAUGUGUGAGGUCCUGGGUUCAAUCCCCAGUACCUCUG